This 1773-nucleotide long non-coding RNA is filed under the name Solanum tuberosum (potato). RNAcentral describes it as "long non-coding RNA (STUB_LNC010311)". Lineage: Eukaryota; Viridiplantae; Streptophyta; Magnoliopsida; Solanales; Solanaceae. The record is from RNAcentral.
AAAGGAAUAUCCAAAUUUGGGCCUCUGGCCACUUUUUGCACCACCUGUCCUGUACGCCUGCAUUUUUUGCACAUUCCAGCCUGCAAUUUCAAUUUAUCAACCUGUAUAUCAUUGUUCUUUUGGGCCUUUUCGAAAUCUGAAAUUCGAUUUCCAACCCCUUUUUAUUUUCGUUUCCUGUUGGCUGACUCAAUAGAAGAUAGAAUUGGGCCUCUAGGGCCCAAUCAACGAAAUGCAAGAUCAAAGAGUGGAGACUCGGGAAGAGCCGGUUCAUACAUGGAAAAGAAUGAAACGAGAUAAAGAUUAAUAAUAGAGCAUACUUUAAAUCUAUAUAAUGCAACCAAGACACAUAAAAAUAGAAAUAAGGCAAAAAUACAUGUGCUUAGUUUACUAUACCAUGGUUUUAUAAGAAUGACAAAGGAAUACACACCAUUCUUAAGUAAUCUUCACUUAGAUUUAAUCUAACCUCACAUGACAAGAUAACACUAAAUGAAUGUGAUAAAUAAAUAAAAUAAAUUUACAUAUAAAAAAGAGGGGAGGGGGACAGUGAUCACAUGGAAAAAAACGGCAUGCACAAUUGGGAUUAGGAUCAUUUAAACUUUGAUCAUAAAAUAGCAAAAUAACAUAUAGUUACCAAAUAUCUAAGGAUAAAUGGGAUCUUAAGGCUUAAUUACUAGAACUAGACUUUAACGAAACAAGCCGUAACAAAUUGAGUCGAGUUCUAUACUGUUGAAUCAUUAUUCUCAGUAAUUAAAAUUGAAGUGAAACAAAACCUCACAACAGUAAGCAUAUUUAAGCUAAUUAAUCUAGAAAUAAGCAUGAACAAGUGAUUGAAAAUAAAAUCAUGUCAAAACAACACUCACACUAAAUACAAAGGAUGAAUUUUAACUCUUUAAGUUUAAGAGAAGCAAGGGAUAAAUUAGGUGACAAAUAUGAAAAUUAUAUAAACCUAUGAAACCAUGGCUAUUUAACCACACAGCCUACCGAGGACGUCACAAGUAACAAGAAAGCUAGCAAAAGAUACCAGAUAUUUAGGAAGUCUAACGCUUAAUCAACAAGAAGAAAAAAGAAUCGGAAAACCGAAGAGAACAAACCAAUGGUUCUUUACAGAGGUUUAUCACCAAUCACACACUGAUUUCCACAUCCUAAUCACAUAAAGAGGCCAAAGCAAACAUAUAUAUUGAAAUUACACUUUUCUUGUAAAACCAGUGGUCAAAGAUGUGUAGCAACUAACAUAUAAACAAGCAAGGCACUAAGCUAAAGAUCGGGGCCAAACAAGAAAUAGCCUGAAAGCACAAGAGAAAAACACUUCAAACUAAGUAAUACUUGAAACGAGCGUAAACAACGACUACUUCACUAGGCGAUGAGAUUCUACAUAGCACGAAACAAAAUCUAGAACGCAAAGAGAAGCUGUAACAAAAGGAGAAAAAAACAAAAGCAUUACCUUCUUAGGAGCAGCGGAACUGAGACGACGAGUUGAAAAGCUUUCCACCACCACAAUCAAAGAGCUUUCGAGAAGCUUUUUGAUCGAACAAGAUAGGAACCGGAGUUCGAAUCAGUUAUCUUCUCUACUUUGAAGUGUGUUUCGUAUGUAUUUUUAUAUAUUUUCCUUUAAGCUAUUUCUCUGUAUCAGUGGAAGCCCCCCCCAAAAAAAACCCUCUAAAACAGUAAAAGAGAUGGAUAUUUAUAAGAGGAAAAAUUGGAAUUCAAAAGGGGGGAAACCGGAUUCCAUUUCGAAUUUCAAAUUCGAAUUACUCUCAAAGGAUAAGGUCGAAC